RNAcentral lists this ribosomal RNA (444 nucleotides) under uncultured bacterium. RNAcentral describes it as "SSU rRNA". It matches the Rfam family "Bacterial small subunit ribosomal RNA", at positions 26 to 518 of the family's 1533-position model. The record is from RNAcentral.
AGAACGAACGCUGGCGGCAUGCCUAACACAUGCAAGUCGAACGAGACCUUCGGGUCUAGUGGCGCACGGGUGCGUAACGCGUGGGAAUCUGCCCUCAGGUACGGAAUAACUCAGGGAAACUUGAGCUAAUACCGCAUAAUGUCUUCGGACCAAAGAUUUAUCGCCUGGGGAUGAGCCCGCGUAGGAUUAGCUUGUUGGUGAGGUAAAAGCUCACCAAGGCGACGAUCCUUAGCUGGUCUGAGAGGAUGAUCAGCCACACUGGGACUGAGACACGGCCCAGACUCCUACGGGAGGCAGCAGUGGGGAAUAUUGGACAAUGGGCGCAAGCCUGAUCCAGCAAUGCCGCGUGAGUGAUGAAGGCCUUAGGGUUGUAAAGCUCUUUUGCCCGGAUGAUAAUGACAGUACCGGAGAAUAAGCUCCGGCUAACUCCGUGCCAGCAGCCGC